AAUCCCUUUUAAAUACAGUCCCGUGAGGCUGGCAAAGGGAGGUUUUAUGGAAGCUGAAUGUAACAGGCUUCUUUUCGCGAACCCUCUUUGCCGUGUUGGGCAAAAAGGGUUUUUUAU
Non-coding RNA from Bacillus sp. VT-16-64, 117 nucleotides. Lineage: Bacteria; Bacillati; Bacillota; Bacilli; Caryophanales; Bacillaceae. The record is from Rfam.